This 270-nucleotide ribosomal RNA is filed under the name uncultured archaeon. Its description in RNAcentral is "partial 16S ribosomal RNA". It matches the Rfam family "Archaeal small subunit ribosomal RNA", at positions 477 to 747 of the family's 1478-position model. The record is from RNAcentral.
CUGCAGCUCGAGUGGUGACCGCUAUUAUUGGGCCUAAAACGUCCGUAGCCGGACGAGUAAAUGCUUGGGUAAAUCGUGCCGCUUAACGGUACGAAUUCCGAGUAGACUGCUUGUCUUGAGACCGGGAGAAGCUAGAGGUACUCCUGGGGUAGGGGUGAAAUCCUGUAAUCCUGGGGGGACCACCAGUGGCGAAGGCGUCUAGCUAGAACGGGUCUGACGGUGAGGGACGAAACCCUGGGGCGCAAACCGGAUUAGAUACCCGAGUAGUCC